Long non-coding RNA from Canis lupus familiaris (dog), 554 nucleotides. RefSeq lists it as uncharacterized. The transcript has 3 exons. The record is from RefSeq and is a predicted model, not a curated record. Lineage: Eukaryota; Metazoa; Chordata; Mammalia; Carnivora; Canidae.
GCUCAGGGCCACUGAUCCGUGAGCAAGGGGCAGUUCAAGCUGUGGUGAGAAAACAUCCCAAGCCACAUUGUGCCUCUGAGUGCUAAUACUGGAUCAUCAACACUAAGAAACAAAUUUGAAAAAUCUAGAGGUGCGAGAGCAGUUCUGAUGUAUUCUCAGGGCCAAUCUCCAGCCUCCCCUCUGCAGCUGUCCAGUGGUAACCCUGAGGAUGGAAUGCACGCAGACAAUCUACCAUGUGUAGGCGCCGUGCUAGGAACCAAAAAGAUGAAGAAGACUUCAUGUGGAUCCCUGAGGAGAUCCUAUGGGGCCAGAGAGAUGAGCAUAAACAAAUGACUGGGAUACAAUGUACUACAGGGUGUGGACUACACAUUUGGAAUUCAAAGAGAGGAAAAUACCUUAAGAAACUGAAGAGGAUUAAGAGUACAUUUACUUUGAGGAACACUAAGUGAUAUGUGGAACUGGCGAAUCGCUCUGUUACACACCUGAAACCAAUAUCGCACUGUGUGUGAACCACACUGGAACUAAAAUACCUGCAUACAUACUGCAUCAAGCCA